AGCGAGAACCUGCCCUUCGGGCCUGGGGAAAGCGGCGAACGGGUGAGUAACACGUGGGUAACCCACCCUUGGUACUGGGAUAGCCCGGGGAAACCCGGAUUAAUACCGGAUGGCCCAACAGCUCUUCGGGGCGGUUGGAAAAGGUAGCUUCGGCCUCCGACCAAGGACGGGCCCGCGGCGGAUUAGCUUGUUGGUGGGGUAACGGCCUACCAAGGCGACGAUCCGUAGCUGGUCUGAGAGGACGAUCAGCCACACUGGGACUGAGACACGGCCCAUACUCCUACGGGAGGCAGCAGUGGGGAAUCUUGCGCAAUGGGCGAAAGCCUGACGCAGCGACGCCGCGUGGGGGAAGAAGGCUUUCGGGUUGUAAACCCCUUUCAGGAAGGACGAAGCCACUCGGGUGAAUAGCCCAGAGGGUGACGGUACUUCCAGAAGAAGCCCCGGCUAACUACGUGCCAGUCAGCCGCGGUAAUACGUAGGGGGCAAGCGUUGUCCGGAUUUAUUGGGCGUAAAGAGCGUGUAGGCGGUCUGGUAGGUCCGUUGUGAAAACUCGAGGCU
Molecule: ribosomal RNA, 558 nt
Filed under: uncultured soil bacterium
Lineage: Bacteria
Description: bacterial SSU rRNA
Rfam family: Bacterial small subunit ribosomal RNA
Source: RNAcentral